This 274-nucleotide ribosomal RNA is filed under the name uncultured bacterium. RNAcentral's name for it is "partial 16S ribosomal RNA". It matches the Rfam family "Bacterial small subunit ribosomal RNA", at positions 523 to 796 of the family's 1533-position model. The record is from RNAcentral.
AUACGGAGGGGGUUAGCGUUGUUUGGAAUUACUGGGCGUAAAGCGUACGUAGGCGGACUGGAAAGUUGGGGGUGAAAUCCCGGGGCUCAACCCCGGAACUGCCUCCAAAACUUCCAAUCUAGAGAUCGAGAGAGGUGAGUGGAAUUCCAAGUGUAGAGGUGAAAUUCGUAGAUAUUUGGAGGAACACCAGUGGCGAAGGCGGCUCACUGGCUCGAUACUGACGCUGAGGUACGAAAGCGUGGGGAGCAAACAGGAUUAGAAACCCUAGUAGUCC